Molecule: long non-coding RNA, 351 nt
Filed under: Olea europaea subsp. europaea
Lineage: Eukaryota; Viridiplantae; Streptophyta; Magnoliopsida; Lamiales; Oleaceae
Source: RNAcentral
CGUCAUUCCGGUCACACCUUAUAUUCUUUACUAUUUGUCCGAUAGCAAAGAAGAACUCAAGCUCGAACUCUAAUCCCUUCUCAGUUAGUUUCGGAGGAAAUGCAAAAUGGGAGAAAGAACUGAACCAGAAGUUAUCUUCUACUUGAAUUUUUCUCAUCAUCUUAAUUUUUCGACUUCUGCUGUAUCUUUGCAGCCAGAAAACCUGAGGUAGCUCAAUAAUUUGAACUAAAAAUCUUCUUUGGGUUACUGUUUCGGAACUUUAGGUUUCACGAUAAUGUUGAUAUGAAGCAUGUAUUCGUAGGGUGUGUUGGCAACGUUUAUCUGAUUAUCUUCAUUAUGAUUUAAAAAAAA